CGAACGCUGGCGGCGUGCCUAAUACAUGCAAGUCGAGCGGACAGAUGGGAGCUUGCUCCCUGAUGUUAGCGGCGGACGGGUGAGUAACACGUGGGUAACCUGCCUGUAAGACUGGGAUAACUCCGGGAAACCGGGGCUAAUACCGGAUGCUUGUUUGAACCGCAUGGUUCAAACAUAAAAGGUGGCUUCGGCUACCACUUACAGAUGGACCCGCGGCGCAUUAGCUAGUUGGUGAGGUAACGGCUCACCAAGGCGACGAUGCGUAGCCGACCUGAGAGGGUGAUCGGCCACACUGGGACUGAGACACGGCCCAGACUCCUACGGGAGGCAGCAGUAGGGAAUCUUCCGCAAUGGACGAAAGUCUGACGGAGCAACGCCGCGUGAGUGAUGAAGGUUUUCGGAUCGUAAAGCUCUGUUGUUAGGGAAGAACAAGUGCCGUUCAAAUAGGGCGGCACCUUGACGGUACCUAACCAGAAAGCCACGGCUAACUACGUGCCAGCAGCCGCGGUAAUACGUAGGUGGCAAGCGUUGUCCGGAAUUAUUGGGCGUAAAGGGCUCGCAGGCGGUUUCUUAAGUCUGAUGUGAAAGCCCCCGGCUCAACCGGGGAGGGUCAUUGGAAACUGGGGAACUUGAGUGCAGAAGAGGAGAGUGGAAUUCCACGUGUAGCGGUGAAAUGCGUAGAGAUGUGGAGGAACACCAGUGGCGAAGGCGACUCUCUGGUCUGUAACUGACGCUGAGGAGCGAAAGCGUGGGGAGCGAACAGGAUUAGAUACCCUGGUAGUCCACGCCGUAAACGAUGAGUGCUAAGUGUUAGGGGGUUUCCGCCCCUUAGUGCUGCAGCUAACGCAUUAAGCACUCCGCCUGGGGAGUACGGUCGCAAGACUGAAACUCAAAGGAAUUGACGGGGGCCCGCACAAGCGGUGGAGCAUGUGGUUUAAUUCGAAGCAACGCGAAGAACCUUACCAGGUCUUGACAUCCUCUGACAAUCCUAGAGAUAGGACGUCCCCUUCGGGGGCAGAGUGACAGGUGGUGCAUGGUUGUCGUCAGCUC
Molecule: ribosomal RNA, 1050 nt
Filed under: Bacillus amyloliquefaciens
Lineage: Bacteria; Bacillati; Bacillota; Bacilli; Caryophanales; Bacillaceae
Description: bacterial SSU rRNA
Rfam family: Bacterial small subunit ribosomal RNA
Source: RNAcentral